UGAAAUUCGUAGAUAUUAGAAAGAAUACCAAUUGCGAAGGCAGCUUUCUGGAUCAUUACUGACACUGAGGAACGAAAGCAUGGGUAGCGAAGAGGAUUAGAUACCCUCGUAGUCCAUGCCGUAAACGAUGUGUGUUAGACGUUGGAAAUUUAUUUUCAGUGUCGCAGGGAAACCGAUAAACACACCGCCUGGGGAGUACGACCGCAAGGUUAAAACUCAAAUGAAUUGACGGGGACCCGCACAAGUAGUGGAGCAUGUGGUUUAAUUCGAAGAUACGCGCAGAACCUUACCAACACUUGACAUGUUCGUCGCGACUCUAAGAGAUUAGAGUUUUCGGUUCGGCCGGACGAAACACAGGUGCUGCAUGGCUGUCGUCAGCUCGUGUCGUGAGAUGUUGGGUUAAGUCCCGCAACGAGCGCAACCCUCACUUUUAGUUGCCAUCAUUAAGUUGGGCACUCUGAAAGAACUGCCAGUGAUAAGCUGGAGGAAGGUGGGGAUGACGUCAAGUCCUCAUGGCCCUUACGUGUUGGGCUACACACGUGCUACAAUGGCAUCUACAACAGGAAGCAAAACGGCAACGUUAAGCAAAUCCCGAAAAGAUGCCUCAGUUCGGAUUGCACUCUGCAACUCGAGUGCAUGAAGCUGGAAUUACUAGUAAUCGUGGAUCAGCGUGCCACGGUGAAUGCGUUCCCGGGCCUUGUACACACCGCCCGUCACACCAUGGGAGUUGGUUCUACCUUAAGGCAAGGUUUUAAACCCUUGACCACGGUAUAGUCAGCGACUGGGGUGAAGUCGUAACAAGGUAACCGUA
Molecule: ribosomal RNA, 811 nt
Filed under: uncultured bacterium
Lineage: Bacteria
Description: bacterial SSU rRNA
Rfam family: Bacterial small subunit ribosomal RNA
Source: RNAcentral